AUUACUAGAGUUUAUCAAGAUAUUAAAAUAUAUUGCCUAAUUAAUCAAGAAAAGACGCAUUUAUACAAGUAAAAUAAGUAUCAUAGCGUCUUAUCUUUUACAAAUGUGACAAAUUUUGUUCUUUGAUACUCCACAUGAACAUACAACAUCAAUAAGAAGUAAAGUCAUUGGGAAAAUAAAUUAUGACGAAAAUGAAAAAAAAUAAAACAAAAUGUAAAAAUGUAGAGAUAUACUUGAAGUUGAACCAACAUCGUGACAAUAAAUCUUAAGUGUAUGAAAAGAAUGAAACUUG
RNAcentral lists this long non-coding RNA (292 nucleotides) under Lathyrus oleraceus (garden pea). RNAcentral's name for it is "Pisum sativum (pea) long non-coding RNA (PSAT_LNC012883)". Lineage: Eukaryota; Viridiplantae; Streptophyta; Magnoliopsida; Fabales; Fabaceae. The record is from RNAcentral.